CUAAUUCUCCUGGGCUGGAGACUAUUACAUGACUCAAUGGAUCAGACAUCAUUUCAUAGCCAAUACCAAUCAAGUGAACAACAGCACACCCACCACCCCCCCCCUGGAGACUAUUACAGAAGAGGAGAUUGAGGAAAGGGACAGAGGAGCACUAAGAUUCUGAGUCAUCUUCCCUAUCUUCAAUCUCCUCUUCUGUAAUAGUCUCCAGCCCAGGAGAAUUAGCAGUCUUGUGCAGAGAUAUGAAAAGGGCUGGUGCAACUUCAACCCAACAAUUCAAAUCUUUAAUCUGCUUUGCCAUUUCAGAAACAGAGUCCUUCCCUGCUACACUUUCAAGACCAAGAAGACGAGCAAAGUUCCAAAUGAAGAUGGUAGUUGCUGCUGCUUCAAGAAAGAGAGUUGAUUGGGAGAUUAUGCAGUACACCGUAGGACCUUGGCUAUGGCGGUGGGAGUGGGAAUGGAAGAGAAUUCAGUGGAGCUUCCCUUUUAUAAGGCCUUGAUAG
This 500-nucleotide unclassified non-coding RNA is filed under the name Hevea brasiliensis (rubber tree). Lineage: Eukaryota; Viridiplantae; Streptophyta; Magnoliopsida; Malpighiales; Euphorbiaceae. The record is from RNAcentral.